GAGCCGCUAGCUCAGUCGGUAGAGCACCUGACUUUUAAUCAGGGGGUCACAGGUUCGAUUCCUGUGCGGCUCA
This 73-nucleotide transfer RNA is filed under the name Dictyoglomus turgidum DSM 6724. It matches the Rfam family "tRNA". Rfam says of the family: Transfer RNA (tRNA) molecules are approximately 80 nucleotides in length. Their secondary structure includes four short double-helical elements and three loops (D, anti-codon, and T loops). Further hydrogen bonds mediate the characteristic L-shaped molecular structure. tRNAs have two regions of fundamental functional importance: the anti-codon, which is responsible for specific mRNA codon recognition, and the 3' end, to which the tRNAs corresponding amino acid is attached (by aminoacyl-tRNA synthetases). tRNAs cope with the degeneracy of the genetic code in two manners: having more than one tRNA (with a specific anti-codon) for a particular amino acid; and 'wobble' base-pairing, i.e. permitting non-standard base-pairing at the 3rd anti-codon position. Lineage: Bacteria; Pseudomonadati; Dictyoglomota; Dictyoglomia; Dictyoglomales; Dictyoglomaceae. The record is from Rfam by way of RNAcentral.